GAUGAAGAACGUAGCGAAAUGCGAUAAGUAGUGUGAAUUGCAGAAUUCAGUGAAUCAUCGAAUCUUUGAACGCACAUUGCGCCCUUUGGUAUUCCUUAGGGCAUGCCUGUUCGAGCGUCAUUUAAACCUUCAAGCUCAGCUUGGUGUUGGGUGACUGUCCGCCGCCUCCGGGCGGUCGGACUCGCCUCAAAUUGAUUGGCGGCCGGUACUUUGGCUUCGAGCGCAGCAGAAACGCGAACUCGAGGCCGUCGUCCUGGCUCCCAGAAGCUAUCUUCACAAUUUUGACCUCGGAUCAGGUAGGGAUACCCGCUGAACUUAAGCAUAUCAAUAAGCGGAAGA
Molecule: unclassified non-coding RNA, 339 nt
Filed under: soil metagenome
Description: partial contains 5.8S ribosomal RNA, internal transcribed spacer 2, and large subunit ribosomal RNA
Rfam family: 5.8S ribosomal RNA (bases 1-120)
Source: RNAcentral